UUUUCCCCUCGUUCUGUGCUUUAAAUACAAUUUCUUCUUCUUCCUUCAAUUUCUCCACAAUUUUCUCCAUAUUUGUAAUUUCAAACUACCAGCUUCUUCUAUCACACACAUCAUUGCGUUUUUUCAAACUAUUUCAAAAAUUUCAAGAAUUUUGGUUCAAUCAAUGGAUGCCCAAUCUCCAUCGAAAAGAUUCACAAGAGGUAUACCAUUGCAUGUUGAAAUUGAUGUUGAACACCCAUCAUUUUCAUUGGGUCUAACUCAGGAAUUUGGAGAGAUCUCAGGUUCAUUGUCUAAAUCUACUACCAUUCAAGAGAUAAGAUCCAAAUUCAAUAAUGACCCAAGUAGAUUUGUUGAUGGAGGUGUAAAGAAUCCUGUCGAUGUUGUUACUGGGUCAAGUAAGAAAAGAAAACAUAAAACUGAUGUUUAUACCGUUCAUAAUGAUAAAAAUGAAGCUGUUGGUUCUGGGUCAAUCGAGCAUCAUAAGAUAUUUGUAUAAUCAUUAUUCAUGUAUAUGUUUAGAUUUUAUAUUAUAUGUUUUGUUUUUGUGUUGAAUCAUGUUUUAUACAAUUGUAAUUGUAUAAAUGUAUAAUCUAUAUUAGUAUAUGUUUUUGUGUUUCUGUUAA
Long non-coding RNA from Solanum pennellii, 623 nucleotides. RefSeq lists it as uncharacterized. NCBI's taxonomy places the organism in Eukaryota, Viridiplantae, Streptophyta, Magnoliopsida, Solanales, Solanaceae. The record is from RefSeq and is a predicted model, not a curated record. The transcript is spliced from 2 exons.